AUAUUUUCUUGAUCUGGAGAACUCACCUUUCCAGUGAUACCCCAUCCCCCAACCAUCUUCUUAUUGUAUGAAUAAAUGGAUUUCAACGAAAGCUAAAUAUAGAAUUAAAGCUUUUUUUCACUAUUUGCUAAAAAGCAAUUGCGUAGAACUUAAUUAAUGAAGUGUACUAACACAGGUUAAAAAUAUGAGUGUAAAAUUUAUUAAAAUUGGAGAAACGCGCAUUUUAAAUAAUCGAAUUUUUGAACUUUAAACGCAAAUAUCUUAAAACCCAUAAUGCAGCGACAACUAUAUAUGUAUAUAUAUUCUUGAUCUGGACCUCGAAAUCGGGGGAUCACAUUCUAAAUCCGAGCAGAUUAUAUUUUUCUGUACCGCGUAAAUGAAGCAAUGCAGAAAAAUGCCGAGGAAGUCGAGACACGUAUGUGAAAACAAUUGGCAACACCAAAAGUGAAAAGUAACACACGUUUCAGUGCAUAAAACGAAAUUAAUAAAUAUUAUUAAAUAGAAGAAUUUAAAACUGCAGUAUAUAAAAUAAUAUAAAAAAAUUUAAAUAUUUAAAAAUUUGUUACCUAGUCGAUUGGUGUUAAUUUUUGAAUGUUUGGCUUUGAUUGCAACAUCGACCGCGUCUAUAGCGUAAACUGCUGCGAGGUGACAACAAACGUAAUGCCUGUUGAUUAAAUUAAAGAGUCGAAAAACGUACUUAAAAAAGUGGCAAAUUAAUCUAUUUGAACAAACGCACCAUACAAAUACAGCUAGAUGCACUCAGAGUAAGUAUACUCAACAAAAAAGAACCAUUCAAGCUCGUUUCAGAAAUACAACUGACCAUAACUUACAAACAUAU
Bactrocera tryoni is the source of this 838-nucleotide long non-coding RNA. RefSeq lists it as uncharacterized. The transcript is spliced from 3 exons. NCBI's taxonomy places the organism in Eukaryota, Metazoa, Arthropoda, Insecta, Diptera, Tephritidae. The record is from RefSeq and is a predicted model, not a curated record.